This 512-nucleotide ribosomal RNA is filed under the name uncultured bacterium. RNAcentral describes it as "partial 16S ribosomal RNA". It matches the Rfam family "Bacterial small subunit ribosomal RNA", at positions 28 to 507 of the family's 1533-position model. The record is from RNAcentral.
GAUGAACGCUGGCGGCGUGCCUAAUACAUGCAAGUCGAACGAAACUUCUUUAUCACCGAGUGCUUGCACUCACCGAUAAAGAGUUGAGUGGCGAACGGGUGAGUAACACGUGGGCAACCUGCCCAAAAGAGGGGGAUAACACUUGGAAACAGGUGCUAAUACCGCAUAACCAUAGUUACCGCAUGGUAACUAUGUAAAAGGUGGCUAUACUACCGCUUUUGGAUGGGCCCGCGGCGCAUUAGCUAGUUGGUAGGGUAAAGGCUUACCAAGGCAAUGAUGCGUAGCCGAAUUGAGAGGUUGAUCGGCCACAUUGGGACUGAGACACGGCCCAAACUCCUACGGGAGGCAGCAGUAGGGAAUCUUCCACAAUGGGCGAAAGCCUGAUGGAGCAACGCCGCGUAGGUGAAGAAGGUCUUCGGAUCGUAAAACCCUGUUGUUAGAGAAGAAAGUGCGUGAGAGUAACUGUUCACGUUUCGACGGUAUCUAACCAGAAAGCCACGGCUAACUACGUG